AAUGUAACUUGAAGAUGCGGACCUUCAGGCCAUGCACUACGGAGAGGAUGGUCAUCAAAUCAUCAUAGGUAUUUGACGGCGUGGCCCUCCACAAGCUCGAACCUGAACCUGCACAGGAUGCCCAAGAGCCAUCUUCAUAUCCAGAAAAUGUUAUUAUCUCUUAUCCACUACUCUGGCUGAAGCUAGCGGUGUUCGGGGCCAAAUUCUACUACUCGAUCCGUCCCAUCUGAUUCAUGUCGGGCACAUAGAUGAAUGGGUGUUUGUACUAUUUGCUAUCCCAAUGAUGCAUGGUCAUUAGUUGUUCUUCAUGAUUGUUAUUCUUCAUGGGAGUACUCAUGCUGCUUUGUAGGGAGGUGCUUAUUAAAUGACUCCACACAAGCUUUGAAGCCCUGGAUUGGAACAAGGAACAUAAUUAGUUUUCUCUAUUAAGCAUUUGAUAUAGCUAUCAGGUGGUGCUAUUUCUAGUGAAUUUGUAAAAUUUGAUUGCUGGUGCCCUUUGCCAAUUGUCUUCAUGCUUCCUUCUCUAACUUAUGUAAUACCUACUUCGCUAUACUUCGUAGAACUUAUGUACUAAAAUGCAGAAGAAUGAUUUACAAUAUGAG
Hordeum vulgare subsp. vulgare (domesticated barley) is the source of this 602-nucleotide long non-coding RNA. RefSeq lists it as uncharacterized. The record is from RefSeq and is a predicted model, not a curated record. The transcript is spliced from 3 exons. NCBI's taxonomy places the organism in Eukaryota, Viridiplantae, Streptophyta, Magnoliopsida, Poales, Poaceae.